AAGUGACCCUCGGUCGGUAGAGCACGAGACUCUUAAUCUCAGGGACGUGGGUUUGAGCCCCAUUCCUGCAUUG
Non-coding RNA from Podarcis lilfordi (Lilford's wall lizard), 73 nucleotides. NCBI's taxonomy places the organism in Eukaryota, Metazoa, Chordata, Lepidosauria, Squamata, Lacertidae. The record is from the annotation of a GenBank genome assembly.